Molecule: RNA transcript, 3803 nt
Organism: Rattus rattus (black rat)
Lineage: Eukaryota; Metazoa; Chordata; Mammalia; Rodentia; Muridae
Gene name: RNA-binding protein 12B-A-like
Exons: 2
Source: RefSeq, a predicted model, not a curated record
CAAAGUCGAGUCUGUCUUCGAAGGAUCUCCCCAUUGACGAUGAUGAUGGCUGACGUGGGAAGUGUGUGACCUGUGGAAUCCUCUUCACUUAAGAGUUCCUGACCCGGAGUUAUGGCCCUGUGUGGUCUUGAAGCUUUUUUAUUUUAAACAUCUACAUCAUAGAAAGCAGAUUUUAUCAGAGAAAAUUUGUGGACUGAGUUAAGUUGCUUUUACAGAGUAAACAGGUCUCCAAGAAAUAAAAGGAAAAGGUAAGCCACCAGAGUGUAAGGCUUUGCACAGAAGUGUGACAAAAUCUGAUAGAUUAUUGGACCGUUGAACUCGUCGUUCUUUUGUUUGCAUGGUGACCAGCUAAAUAGCAGGAGCAGAAAUUCUGACCAUACUUGGCUUUUCUGACUAUGUAAACUCUAUUGUGGUUAGUGAAAGACAGAUGAGUAGGAGGCAGUGAUCUAAAGAGUCUGAAAGUGGUUUGGUUUUGUUGUGAAGCAGCAUUUGGCAGACUUACAAAGGAAGAUUUGGCAUUUUUGAUGUUCCUAAUGAAUAGGAUAGGCAGUGUGAAAUGUUUAAGGCAAUUGGUUUAUUUGUGUGUUUAUAUAGGAGAAGAUGCAUUUGUUUUAGGAAUUAGAGGAGAUGGCAGGUUUCUCUGUGGACUACUGUUUCCUUUUCCACUUACUAAUGCUGAAGAAACAGGUAAUUAUUAAGCUAGUUUGUGCUAAGGUGCUGCAAAAAUAAGCCUUGCUAUUAUGUGUACCUUUUUGUCUGCAGGUGAUUAUUGCUGUGGUUUGAGCUCAGCAUGGCUGUAGUCAUCCGUUUACAGGGGCUUCCUUUUAUUGCGGGUCCUGUGGACAUCCGUCACUUCUUCAAGGGAUUGACUAUUCCUGAUGGAGGAGUGCAUGUGAUUGGAGGGAAAGCUGGUGAGGCUUUUAUAAUUUUUGCCACAGAUGAAGACGCAAGACGUGCCAUAAGUCGCUCAGGAGGGUUUAUCAAGGAUUGAUCUGUAGAGCUUUUUUCUGAGUAGCAAGGUAGAAAUGCAGAAGACCAUAGACAUGAAAAGAAGUGCUCGUGUAGGAAGAGGGCGACCAGGACCUGAGGCCUCAGGGGUUGGCAACAUGUAUCAUUUUAUCGAUGCUCUGAAGGAAGAGGAACAUUAUUCUGGAUAUGGCUCUGCAGUUAAUCCAGAUGCUGGGUUUCAUAUAAAUGGUACAGGACUUGACGUGAGGCCAAGAAAGACCAGGCCACUGAAGGCUGAGAAUCCUUACUUGUUCCUUCGAGGUUUGCCUUACUUAGUAAAUGAAGAUGAUGUCCGUGUCUUUUUCUCUGGUUUGUGUGUAGAUGGAGUAAUUCUCUUAAAACACCAUGAUGGGCGAAAUAAUGGCGAUGCUAUAGUAAAAUUUGCUUCAUGUGUUGAUGCUUCAGGAGGUCUUAAAUGCCAUAGAAGUUUCAUGGGUUCCAGAUUUAUAGAAGUCAUGCAGGGUUCAGAACAACAGUGGAUUGAAUUUGGUGGUACUGCAAGCAAGGGCGGGGACACCCUGCAUAAGAGAUCUGAAGAACAUUCUCCUUCAAGGAGGUUAAAUGACAGGUACUUUUGGAAACGGUCUCGUUCAAAGUCUCCCAGAACACGUUCUCGCUCUCCUCUUGGAUUUUAUGUUCACUUAAGAAAUCUGUCCUUACAUACUAACAAAAGAGAUCUAAGGUAUCUCUUUAGAGAUACUGACCUGAGUAACGACCAGAUUAAGUUUUUAUAUAAAGAUGAUCGAAGAACGCGGUAUGCCUUUGUGAUGUUCAAGAAUCAAAAAAGACUAUAACACUGCCCUGGGUUUGCAUAAGACUGUUUUAAUAUCGUCCAGUUCUUAUCGAUCCAAUUUCUAGAAAGGAAAUGGUGAAAAUCAUUGAAUGCUAUGAAAAGAAGAGACCAGAGUCUUUAGAGGAAGAGAGGCCAGGACGUGUUUCAAAAAAGUACUCUGAAGAAGGCUUCCUGGCUCUGGUCAGAAGCUGUGCAUAUAUAUAAGAAAUUUACCAUUUGAUGUUACAAAAGGUGAAGUGCAGAAGUUCUUUGCAGACUUUUCUCUUGUUGAGGAUGACAUUUAUUUGCUUUGUGAUGACAAGGAGUUGGUUUGGGAGAAGCACUGGUGAGAUUUAAAUCUGAAGAGCAGGCCAUGAAAGCUGAACGCGUUUGAACCGGCAGAGAUUCUUGGGACAGAGGUGUUGUUAAGACUUAUAUCUGAGGAACAAAUGCAGGAGUUUGGUGUAAAUUUUCCUGGAUGUCAAAUGAGAAGACACAAGCCUGGUCCCGGGUCACAUGAUGGAGAUGACUGUCCCUGUCUGUUUGACUUAAAAGAUCCACUGGCGUGUUCCUUUGGCCAGUCUGAAAGCAUUGGUUAUCAGCCAAAAGACUUGAGGAAAAUGGGUCAUUUCAAGCAUCCCCGAGGGUAUUUCCAGCAUGCUGACAGGCACUCUCCUGAGGACUUCAGGCACUCUCCAGAAGACUAUGGACACCUCAGGAGGAGCAUACCAGGCGCCUAGGGAGGAAGACUGGAGACGGCCCUUGAGGAUUGGAAAUGGUCACUGGAAGAUGAUUUUAGGCAGUGUCGUGAAAAAGAUUGUAGGCAGCUACCAGAGAAGGAUUUCAGAUGCCCUUGGGAAGAAGACUUCCGACGGCCAUCUCAGGAGCACUUCAGGAGGUCAUAUCAGGAGCACAUUAGACGGCCACCCCAUGAACAUUUCAGGCAUUCCCGAGAGGAAGAUUCCAGGCAUGUGGCAGAUGAAGAUUUUAGGUACCCUUCUGAUGAGGACUUCAGGACCUCCCAAGAAGAUUUGAGAUGUCCCACUGAUGAGGACUUCAGGCAGGUGUGUCUGGAAGACCACAGGAAAGUUCCUGAGGAGGGUCUUAGACGUUCUGAUAAUUUUAGACUUCCUGGAGAGGAUUUUUGGACCUCAUCUGAUUUCAGAGGUCACCAUCCUUUUGUGAACUUUGGUCACCUAGAAGGUGGCAAAUUUGAUUUUGGAAAGUAUAACAUAGGAAGUUUUUCAGAGGCAAAAGUUACAUCUGAUUUAAAUUUAAGUUGUAGGUCAGGUGGAAUUAUUCCUGUAAAAAUCUCAAAUCUUCCAUUCAAAGCUAAUUCUAAUGAAAUUCUAGACUUUUUCCAUGGUUAUAAAGUCAUACCUGGUUCUGUUUCAUUACAGUACAAUGAGGAAGGAUUACCUAUAGGAGAAGCUAUUGUUGCUAUGACAAAUUAUAAUGAAGCUCUAGCUGCUGUUAAAGAUCUAAGUGGUAGACCAGUUGGUCCCCGAAAGGUUAAGCUCAGUUUGCUUUAGAGGGUCUUUUUAAGUAAACAGUUUUCUUCUACUGUAUUGGUGCAGUGAAUGUAUAGUUUUGUAAUUUAAUUAUCUAAAAAAUGUUUUUAAUGUGUGAUUAGAAAAAAGAAGGUGUUAUGCAAAUCUGGUUUCCUUUUAUUUCAAAUGGACAUGCAUUUACCCCCUAAUUUAAAAUUACAUAUACUGUUUUUCGCAGGUAGAAAAGAACAAAUUUUCUGUUCUCAUUAAUGCUAUGAAUAAAUUAAUCUUUGACUUUGUUUUUUCUAUCUUUUACUCAGACUAUAGAAGGAAAUAAAGGCUGAGUGAUUAAUCGGGUUUGGCACUUUUGCUAAUUGCCUGUAAAACUGCUUGUCAAGAUAUCAUGCUAAUGUCUCUUAUAAACUCUAAAUAGUUCAGAAAAUGAACUUACUGUGAAAGAAAUUUACUUAAGUUCUUCAAUAUUUGUGUUCACAAGUUUCAAAAGUUUAAUAAAGAUAAAAUUGCAAUUGAAA